UACGUAGGGCGCAAGCGUUGUCCGGAAUUAUUGGGCGUAAAGAGCUCGUAGGCGGCUUGUCACGUCGAUUGUGAAAGCCCGAGGCUUAACCUCGGGUCUGCAGUCGAUACGGGCUAGCUAGAGUGUGGUAGGGGAGAUCGGAAUUCCCGGUGUAGUGGUGAAAUGCGUAGAUAUCGGGAGGAACACCAGUGGCGAAGGCGGCUUUCUGGCCCGUUCUUGACGCUGAGGCGCGAAAGCUAGGGUAGCAAACGGG
Molecule: ribosomal RNA, 253 nt
Filed under: uncultured bacterium
Lineage: Bacteria
Description: partial 16S ribosomal RNA
Rfam family: Bacterial small subunit ribosomal RNA
Source: RNAcentral